This 719-nucleotide ribosomal RNA is filed under the name Microbacterium sp. RNAcentral's name for it is "bacterial SSU rRNA". It matches the Rfam family "Bacterial small subunit ribosomal RNA", at positions 95 to 827 of the family's 1533-position model. Lineage: Bacteria; Bacillati; Actinomycetota; Actinomycetes; Micrococcales; Microbacteriaceae. The record is from RNAcentral.
GUGGCGAACGGGUGAGUAACACGUGAGCAACCUGCCCCGGACUCUGGGAUAAGCGCUGGAAACGGCGUCUAAUACCGGAUAUGAGCAACAGUCGCAUGACUAGUUGUUGGAAAGAUUUUUUGGUCUGGGAUGGGCUCGCGGCCUAUCAGCUUGUUGGUGAGGUAAUGGCUCACCAAGGCGUCGACGGGUAGCCGGCCUGAGAGGGUGACCGGCCACACUGGGACUGAGACACGGCCCAGACUCCUACGGGAGGCAGCAGUGGGGAAUAUUGCACAAUGGGCGGAAGCCUGAUGCAGCAACGCCGCGUGAGGGAUGACGGCCUUCGGGUUGUAAACCUCUUUUAGCAAGGAAGAAGCGAAAGUGACGGUACUUGCAGAAAAAGCGCCGGCUAACUACGUGCCAGCAGCCGCGGUAAUACGUAGGGCGCAAGCGUUAUCCGGAAUUAUUGGGCGUAAAGAGCUCGUAGGCGGUUUGUCGCGUCUGCUGUGAAAUCUGGGGGCUCAACUCCCAGCCUGCAGUGGGUACGGGCAGACUAGAGUGCGGUAGGGGAGAUUGGAAUUCCUGGUGUAGCGGUGGAAUGCGCAGAUAUCAGGAGGAACACCGAUGGCGAAGGCAGAUCUCUGGGCCGUAACUGACGCUGAGGAGCGAAAGGGUGGGGAGCAAACAGGCUUAGAUACCCUGGUAGUCCACCCCGUAAACGUUGGGAACUAGUUGUGGGG